Molecule: ribosomal RNA, 646 nt
Filed under: uncultured bacterium
Lineage: Bacteria
Description: bacterial SSU rRNA
Rfam family: Bacterial small subunit ribosomal RNA
Source: RNAcentral
UACAUGCAAGUCGAACGAGGCCCUCUUCCUUCGGGAGGAGGUGUCCUAGUGGCGAACGGGUGAGUAACACGUUGGUGACCUACCCCGAAGAGGGGGACAACCCCGGGAAACUGGGGCUAAUACCCUAUGUGAUCCUAAGGAUUAGAUGCCUAAGGAUGAAAUGGAGCAAUUCGCUUCGGGAGGGGCCUGCGGCCUAUCAGCUAGUUGGUGAGGUAAUGGCUCACCAAGGCGACGACGGGUAGGGGACCUGAGAGGGUGACCCCCCACACUGGAACUGAAACACGGACCAGACACCUACGGGUGGCAGCAGUAGGGAAUAUUGCACAAUAGGCGAAAGCCUGAUGCAGCAACGCCGCGUGCGCGAUGAAGGCCUUAGGGUUGUAAAGCGCUUUUCUGGGGGAAGAGAAAGGACGGUACCCCAGGAAUAAGUCUCGGCUAACUACGUGCCAGCAGCCGCGGUAAAACGUAGGAGGCGAGCGUUAUCCGGAUUUACUGGGCGUAAAGCGCGUGCAGGCGGUUUGGUAAGUCGGACGUGAAAGCUCCCGGCUCAACUGGGAGAGGCCGUUCGAAACUACCAAGACUAGAGGGCAGCAGAGGGAGGUGGAAUUCCAGGUGUAGCGGUGAAAUGCGUAGAUAUCUGGAGGAA